RNAcentral lists this ribosomal RNA (376 nucleotides) under uncultured organism. Its description in RNAcentral is "partial 16S ribosomal RNA". It matches the Rfam family "Bacterial small subunit ribosomal RNA", at positions 527 to 896 of the family's 1533-position model. The record is from RNAcentral.
GUAGGUGGCAAGCGUUGUCCGGAAUUAUUGGGCGUAAAGCGCGCGCAGGCGGUUCUUUAAGUCUGAUGUGAAAGCCCACGGCUCAACCGUGGAGGGUCAUUGGAAACUGGAGAACUUGAGUACAGAAGAGGAAAGCGGAAUUCCACGUGUAGCGGUGAAAUGCGUAGAGAUGUGGAGGAACACCAGUGGCGAAGGCGGCUUUCUGGUCUGUAACUGACGCUGAGGCGCGAAAGCGUGGGGAGCAAACAGGGAUUAGAUACCCUGGUAGUCCACGCCGUAAACGAUGAGUGCUAAUGUUAGGGGGGGUUUCCCGCCCCCCUUAGUGCUGCAGCUAACGCAUUAAGCACUCCGCCUGGGGAGUACGGCCGCAAGGCUG